AAUAUUGGACAAUGGGGGCAACCCUGAUCCAGCCAUGCCGCGUGAGUGAUGAAGGCCUUCGGGUUGUAAAACUCUUUCGACGGGGACGAUAAUGACGGUACCCGUAGAAGAAGCCCCGGCUAACUUCGUGCCAGCAGCCGCGGUAAUACGAAGGGGGCUAGCGUUGCUCGGAAUGACUGGGCGUAAAGGGCGCGUAGGCGGCUUGCACAGUCAGGCGUGAAAUUCCUGGGCUCAACCUGGGGACUGCGCUUGAGACGUGUGGGCUUGAGUGGGGAAGAGGGUCGUGGAAUUCCCAGUGUAGAGGUGAAAUUCGUAGAUAUUGGGAAGAACACCGGUGGCGAAGGCGGCGACCUGGUCCUUGACUGACGCUGAGGCGCGAAAGCGUGGGGAGCAAAC
RNAcentral lists this ribosomal RNA (396 nucleotides) under uncultured bacterium. RNAcentral describes it as "bacterial SSU rRNA". It matches the Rfam family "Bacterial small subunit ribosomal RNA", at positions 360 to 773 of the family's 1533-position model. The record is from RNAcentral.